This 254-nucleotide ribosomal RNA is filed under the name uncultured bacterium. RNAcentral's name for it is "partial 16S ribosomal RNA". It matches the Rfam family "Bacterial small subunit ribosomal RNA", at positions 524 to 776 of the family's 1533-position model. The record is from RNAcentral.
UACGAAGGGGGCUAGCGUUGUUCGGAAUCACUGGGCGUAAAGCGUAUGUAGGCGGAUCGUUAAGUCGGGGGUGAAAUCCCGAGGCUCAACCUCGGAACUGCCUUCGAUACUGGCGAUCUUCGAGUCCGGGAGAGGUGAGUGGAACUCCGAGUGUAGAGGUGAAAUUCAUAGAUAUUCGGAAGAACACCAGUGGCGAAGGCGGCUCACUGGCCCGGUACUGACGCUGAUAUACGAAAGCGUGGGGAGCAAACAGG